UGAACAGGUCGGGCGGUCGCUGCUGAUUCAAAUCUCAAAUAAUCAGAUUUCAGAUCUCAAUUUCAGGUCUUGGAUCCAGCUUGAGAUAAGGUCAGGAGAGGAAAGUCCGAACACCAAAGGGCAGCGAGCCCGCUAACGGCGGGGCGUCCGAUAAUCUCGGAUUACAGACUUCAAAUCCUGGGUGAAAACUUGAAGUUGCCGCUGGGUCGGCAUUGGUCAACCGCGGAAUUGAAAUUUGCAAUCUGAGAUUAAUUGGACGACGACAAGUGCAACAGAAAGCAAACCAGCUUGGUUGGAAAUCUCAGAUCUAAGAUUUGGGAUCUCAAAACUGAGUGAUGGGUGAAACGGUGCGGCCCCCAGGGGCUUAAAGUAAGAGCGCACCGGCGCGUCUGGUAACAGAUGCGGCCAGGCAAACUCCUCGCGGUGCAAGAUCAAAUAGGGAGGCGUCAAAAGGGCUGCCCGCCCAAAGUGGUGCAAACCGCUACGACCUCCGGGUAGAUCGCUUGAUCCAACUGGCAACAGUUGGACUAGAUGAAUGAUCGCCACUCCGAUUUGAGAUCUCAGAUCUUAAGUCCCAAAUCUGAGACUCAACAAAGCCAGAUUUUUUGAGCUUAAGAUUUAAUAUCUCAAAUCGGAGAACAGAAUUCGGCUUAUAGACCUGUUCUACUU
Molecule: RNase P RNA, 669 nt
Filed under: Blastocatellia bacterium
Lineage: Bacteria; Pseudomonadati; Acidobacteriota; Blastocatellia
Description: RNase P RNA component class A
Rfam family: Bacterial RNase P class A
About the family: Ribonuclease P (RNase P) is a ubiquitous endoribonuclease, found in archaea, bacteria and eukarya as well as chloroplasts and mitochondria. Its best characterised activity is the generation of mature 5'-ends of tRNAs by cleaving the 5'-leader elements of precursor-tRNAs.
Source: RNAcentral